UGAGGAAUAUUGGUCAAUGGACGGGAGUCUGAACCAGCCAAGUAGCGUGCAGGAUGACGGCCCUAUGGGUUGUAAACUGCUUUUGUGCGGGGAUAAAGUGUGGGACGUGUCCCAUAUUGCAGGUACCGCAUGAAUAAGGACCGGCUAAUUCCGUGCCAGCAGCCGCGGUAAUACGGAAGGUCCGGGCGUUAUCCGGAUUUAUUGGGUUUAAAGGGAGCGCAGGCCGCCGGGCAAGCGUGUUGUGAAAUGCAGUCGCUCAACGUCUGCACUGCAGCGCGAACUGCCCAGCUUGAGUGCGCGCAACGUUGGCGGAAUUCGCCGUGUAGCGGUGAAAUGCUUAGAUAUGGCGAAGAGCUCCGAUUGCGAAGGCAGCUG
This 375-nucleotide ribosomal RNA is filed under the name uncultured Prevotella sp. RNAcentral describes it as "bacterial SSU rRNA". It matches the Rfam family "Bacterial small subunit ribosomal RNA", at positions 355 to 727 of the family's 1533-position model. Lineage: Bacteria; Pseudomonadati; Bacteroidota; Bacteroidia; Bacteroidales; Prevotellaceae. The record is from RNAcentral.